CUUCAGCGAAAAGUAGGCUGACCUGUUAGCAGAAAACCCCGUGAAGAAAAUCACAUCGAUAUUAUAAGGUGGAUCACGAUCUAGAAGGACCCCCCCCACCCCUCUCCAAACACGCCAGCCAGAGGGCGCCCCUGCAUGAAGAGUGAACAGGAAAUGUAUGUUCUCUUGGAAAUUCUUACAUCUUGUGGCGGUCAAUCAUGGGCACAAAAAUCUAUCAAAAAAUAUGAAACUAGUGUGAUUGCAUCAUUCACUGUUGAUCAGUCCUUAUGAAAUCUGGAAAAGAAAAAUACUUGACAGAGGGCAACGUUCAAGCUAUAUUUAAUUAGAUACUUUUGAUGAACAAAAAAUAAUAAAGUGUACCUGGAUAUCAAACUAUAUUUCUUCAGAAAGGAAAUCUUCAUUUCAACAAA
Molecule: long non-coding RNA, 410 nt
Organism: Alosa alosa (allis shad)
Lineage: Eukaryota; Metazoa; Chordata; Actinopteri; Clupeiformes; Clupeidae
Exons: 3
Source: RefSeq, a predicted model, not a curated record